CACAUUUCCUCAUCAGAUGGACUGAAUCUCAGGAGGUGUCCAGAGAGUGAGACACAGACACAGUUUAGGAUCUCUGGGCUAAUGAGCCGACAGCAGCAGGGCAGCGCUGACAGAGAUGACAGUGAGAAACAGCAGCAGCAGCAGCGCAGCCCUCAUCCUGUAAAAAAACACAGCAGAGGCAAAA
This is a long non-coding RNA of Trematomus bernacchii (emerald rockcod), 184 nucleotides long. RefSeq lists it as uncharacterized. The transcript is spliced from 3 exons. The record is from RefSeq and is a predicted model, not a curated record. Lineage: Eukaryota; Metazoa; Chordata; Actinopteri; Perciformes; Nototheniidae.